Molecule: ribosomal RNA, 485 nt
Filed under: uncultured bacterium
Lineage: Bacteria
Description: partial 16S ribosomal RNA
Rfam family: Bacterial small subunit ribosomal RNA
Source: RNAcentral
AUUGAACGCUGGCGGCAUGCCUUACACAUGCAAGUCGAACGGCAGCACGGGUGCUUGCCCCUGGUGGCGAGUGGCGAACGGGUGAGUAAUACAUCGGAACAUGUCCUGUAGUGGGGGAUAGCCCGGCGAAAGCCGGAUUAAUACCGCAUACGAUCUACGGAUGAAAGCGGGGGACCUUCGGGCCUCGCGCUAUAGGGUUGGCCGAUGGCUGAUUAGCUAGUUGGUGGGGUAAAGGCCUACCAAGGCGACGAUCAGUAGCUGGUCUGAGAGGACGACCAGCCACACUGGGACUGAGACACGGCCCAGACUCCUACGGGAGGCAGCAGUGGGGAAUUUUGGACAAUGGGCGAAAGCCUGAUCCAGCAAUGCCGCGUGUGUGAAGAAGGCCUUCGGGUUGUAAAGCACUUUUGUCCGGAAAGAAAUCCUUGGCCCUAAUACGGUCGGGGGAUGACGGUACCGGAAGAAUAAGCACCGGCGAACUACGU